CCAGAGAAUUUAGCAGAGAUGCUUUAGUGCCUUCGGGAACUCUGAGACAGGUGCUGCAUGGCUGUCGUCAGCUCGUGUUGUGAAAUGUUGGGUUAAGUCCCGCAACGAGCGCAACCCUAUCCUUUGUUGCCAGCGAUUCGGUCGGGAACUCAAAGGAGACUGCCGGUGAUAAACCGGAGGAAGGUGGGGAUGACGUCAAGUCAUCAUGGCCCUUACGAGUAGGGCUACACACGUGCUACAAUGGCGCAUACAAAGAGAAGCGACCUCGCGAGAGCAAGCGGACCUCAUAAAGUGCGUCGUAGUCCGGAUUGGAGUCUGCAACUCGACUCCAUGAAGUCGGAAUCGCUAGUAAUCGUAGAUCAGAAUGCUACGGUGAAUACGUUCCCGGGCCUUGUACACACCGCCCGUCACACCAUGGGAGUGGGUUGCAAAAGAAGUAGAUAGCUUAACCUUCGGGAGGGCGUUUACCACUUUGUGAUUCAUGACUGGGGUGAAGUCGUAACAAGGUAAGCGUAGCGAG
This 520-nucleotide ribosomal RNA is filed under the name uncultured bacterium. RNAcentral's name for it is "bacterial SSU rRNA". It matches the Rfam family "Bacterial small subunit ribosomal RNA", at positions 988 to 1509 of the family's 1533-position model. The record is from RNAcentral.